UGGGGAAUAUUGCACAAUGGGCGCAAGCCUGAUGCAGCCAUGCCGCGUGUAUGAAGAAGGCCUUCGGGUUGUAAAGUACUUUCAGCGAGGAGGAAGGCGGUAAGGUUAAUAACCUUAUCGAUUGACGUUACUCGCAGAAGAAGCACCGGCUAACUCCGUGCCAGCAGCCGCGGUAAUACGGAGGGUGCAAGCGUUAAUCGGAAUUACUGGGCGUAAAGCGCACGCAGGCGGUCUAUCAAGUCGGAUGUGAAAUCCCCGGGCUCAACCUGGGAACUGCAUUCGAAACUGGCAGGCUAGAGUCUUGUAGAGGGGGGUAGAAUUCCAGGUGUAGCGGUGAAAUGCGUAGAGAUCUGGAGGAAUACCGGUGGCGAAGGCGGCCCCCUGGACAAAGACUGACGCUCAGGUGCGAAAGCGUGGGGAGCAAACA
This 427-nucleotide ribosomal RNA is filed under the name uncultured bacterium. Its description in RNAcentral is "partial 16S ribosomal RNA". It matches the Rfam family "Bacterial small subunit ribosomal RNA", at positions 355 to 774 of the family's 1533-position model. The record is from RNAcentral.